CGCGGGGUGGAGAAGUCUGGUAUCUCGUCGGGCUCAUAACCCGAAGACCGCAGGUUCAAAUCCUGCCCCCGCUACCA
RNAcentral lists this transfer RNA (77 nucleotides) under bacterium. Its description in RNAcentral is "tRNA-Met". It matches the Rfam family "tRNA". Rfam says of the family: Transfer RNA (tRNA) molecules are approximately 80 nucleotides in length. The record is from RNAcentral.